RNAcentral lists this ribosomal RNA (440 nucleotides) under uncultured bacterium. Its description in RNAcentral is "partial 16S ribosomal RNA". It matches the Rfam family "Bacterial small subunit ribosomal RNA", at positions 338 to 795 of the family's 1533-position model. The record is from RNAcentral.
CCUACGGGGGGCAGCAGUUUUUGAUAUUUCACAAUUUUUUUAACCCUUAUCCCUCUCCUCCUCUUUUUUGAAGAAGCUCCUCUUCCCUUAAAGCCCUGUCAGCAGGGAAGAAAAUGACGGUACCUGAAGAAGAAGCCCCGGCUAACUACGUGCCAGCAGCCGCGGUAAUACGUAGGGGGCAAGCGUUAUCCGGAUUUACUGGGUGUAAAGGGGGCGCAGACGGCGAUGCAAGCCAGGAGUGAAAGCCCGGGGCCCAACCCCGGGACUGCUCUUGGAACUGCGUGGCUGGAGUGCAGGAGGGGCAGGCGGAAUGCCUGGUGUAGCGGUGAAAUGCGUAGAUAUCAGGAGGAACACCGGUGGCGAAGGCGGCCUGCUGGACUGCAACUGACGUUGAGGCCCGAAAGCGUGGGGAGCAAACAGGAUUAGAUACCCGGGUAGUC